Molecule: ribosomal RNA, 253 nt
Filed under: uncultured bacterium
Lineage: Bacteria
Description: partial 16S ribosomal RNA
Rfam family: Bacterial small subunit ribosomal RNA
Source: RNAcentral
UACAGAGGUCUCAAGCGUUGUUCGGAUCCAUUGGGCGUAAAGGGUGCGUAGGCGGCGCGGUAAGUCGGGUGUGAAAUCUCGGAGCUUAACUCCGAAACUGCAUUCGAUACUGCCGUGCUUGAGGACUGGAGAGGAGACUGGAAUUUACGGUGUAGCGGUGAAAUGCGUAGAUAUCGUAAGGAAGACCAGUGGCGAAGGCGGGUCUCUGGACAGUUACUGACACUGAGGCACGAAGGCCAGGGGAGCAAACGGG